Molecule: long non-coding RNA, 801 nt
Filed under: Monodelphis domestica (gray short-tailed opossum)
Lineage: Eukaryota; Metazoa; Chordata; Mammalia; Didelphimorphia; Didelphidae
Description: lncRNA (ENSMODG00000034628.2)
Source: RNAcentral
UUUCCUGAAAUCAGUACUGUCCCAUAAAACCAAGGAUGCAGGUUACCUUAUUCAGCCCCCAUCACAGUGAUUCUCCAUGUGGACCUGUCCAUGAUGUAGUCUGGUAUCCAAAAUACUCUCUCUCUCUCUCUCUCUCUCUCUCUCUCUCUCUCUCUCUCUCUCUCACACACACACACACACACACACACACACAAUGUACCCAGAGUGUCACAAAGCAUCCAGCAAGGGCUGGCAUAGACAAAUGAGAUACAGAGUGUUCAAAAGGGAAGCAACGAAGCAAAUCCUAAAGGGUCUUUUCCUAUGCAGACCCAGCAGAAAAUAAUAGGCCAGCAACUCUUCAGGACACUAAACAAGAUGAGAUUUUUUUCAGGUACUACUAUCGGUUGUCUUCAUCUCGCUUUGCCAUUUCCUGCUACCCUACAACCUGAGAAAUGCAGACAGAAAUGAGAGAGAUAUCACCAGCAGAUGUCUGGAAAAUCCGAUUCUCCCAUCGAUGCUAAAUCAUGCCCUCUGUGCCAGGACUUCUUCAGGAUUAUUGGACCAUCGAAGUUUGAUAUCUCUACACCAAACUGCUUCACUUUAUAUGAAAGCCCUUGGAAAAAGCACAAAGGAAGCAUAUAAAAAGCAUAAGAUCAUUUACAAACAGGGGCAUCUAGAAUCCCUCACACUUUAUAGGAAAACUUCCUCUUAUUUGGAUUCUGCUCUGGAUAUCCUCGAUGACAACGAAGGACAUACCUCUGGUGAGCAAAUAUCUUGUUUCAUACCUUGCUUGAUAUGUAUAAUCAGAAUGUUUUUUUAAGG